Molecule: ribosomal RNA, 380 nt
Filed under: uncultured bacterium
Lineage: Bacteria
Description: bacterial SSU rRNA
Rfam family: Bacterial small subunit ribosomal RNA
Source: RNAcentral
UAAGACAGAGGGGGCGAGCGUUGUCCGGAGUCACUGGGCGUAAAGCGCGCGCAGGCGGUGGCCUAAGUGUCGUGUGAAAGCCCCCGGCUCAACCGGGGGAGGCCAUGGCAGACUGGGCGACUGGAGCUGCGGAGAGGCCCCUCGAAUUGCCGGUGUAGCGGUGAAAUGCGUAGAGAUCGGCAGGAAGACCAAGGGGGAAGCCAGGGGGCUGGCCGCGAGCUGACGCUGAGGCGCGACAGCGUGGGGAGCCAACCGGAUUAGAUACCCGGGUAGUCCACGCCGUAAACGAUGACCACUCGGCGUGUGGCGACUAUUGACGUCGCGGCGCGCCCAAGCUCACGCGAUAAGUGGUCCGCCUGGGAACUACGAGCGCAAGCUUA